Molecule: ribosomal RNA, 522 nt
Filed under: uncultured Bacillota bacterium
Lineage: Bacteria; Bacillati; Bacillota
Description: uncultured Firmicutes bacterium partial 16S ribosomal RNA
Source: RNAcentral
UGCUACCUUGUUACGACUUCACCCUAGUCAUCGAUUUCACCUUCGACGGCUCCAUCCUUACGGUUUGGUCACCGGCUUCGGGCGCCUCCGACUUCCAUGGUGUGACGGGCGGUGUGUACAAGGCCCGGGAACGUAUUCACCGCGACAUUCUGAUCCGCGAUUACUAGCGAUUCCAACUUCAUGUAGUCGAGUUGCAGACUACAAUCCGAACUGGGACGGUUUUUUUGGGGUUUGCUCCAGAUCACUCCUUAGCUUCCCUUUGUAACCGCCAUUGUAGCACGUGUGUAGCCCAGGUCAUAAGGGGCAUGAUGAUUUGACGUCAUCCCCACCUUCCUCCGAGUUGUCCCCGGCAGUCUCUCUAGAGUCCCCACCAUUACGUGCUGGCUACUAAAGAUAAGGGUUGCGCUCGUUGCGGGACUUAACCCAACAUCUCACGACACGAGCUGACGACAACCAUGCACCACCUGUCUCCAUUGUCCCGAAGGAAAGGAACGAUUAAGCUCCGAUCAAUGGGAUGUCAAG